GGUCAUGAGUGCCAGCGCGAAGCCCCGGCUCGCUGGCCGGCAACCCUCCAACCGCGGUGGGGUGCCCCGGGUGAAGACCGGGCGAGGCGUCAAUCGGCGUCCGCAAGCACGGCAU
Molecule: non-coding RNA, 115 nt
Filed under: Knoellia subterranea
Lineage: Bacteria; Bacillati; Actinomycetota; Actinomycetes; Micrococcales; Intrasporangiaceae
Also listed under: 1 other name
Description: SAM-IV sequence
Rfam family: SAM (S-adenosyl methionine) riboswitch aptamer
About the family: SAM-IV is a mRNA element that regulates gene expression via direct sensing of S-adenosylmethionine (SAM or AdoMet). SAM-IV riboswitches share conserved nucleotide positions with the previously described SAM-I riboswitches sequence analysis and molecular recognition experiments suggest that SAM-I and SAM-IV riboswitches share similar ligand binding sites, but have different scaffolds.
Source: RNAcentral